GGGCACUUGGUCUAGGGGUAUGAUUUGUAAGUCUCAAAGCAAAAACACUCAGUUUGAGUAGUUUACUAACGAGUAUUCAGUCGCUUCGCAUCUUAUAUAUGCAUAUUGUGAAAGGUCGUGGGUUCAAUUCCCACAGUGUCCA
Molecule: non-coding RNA, 142 nt
Organism: Delitschia confertaspora ATCC 74209
Lineage: Eukaryota; Fungi; Ascomycota; Dothideomycetes; Pleosporales; Delitschiaceae
Source: the annotation of a GenBank genome assembly